GGAGCAGUAGCUCAGUUGGUAGAGCAAAGAAAAGUUUUAAAAUUACCACCGGGUCAAUUCAAAUUUACUUCAAAUUGGCAUACUGUCCGCAAGGGCAGACCUGGUUCGAAUCCAGCCCGUUUGAAAAUUAUCGUGGUCAAUUAACGCUUACUGCCUUACUUGGGUCGUUGGUUCGAUUCCAACCUGCUUCG
This 191-nucleotide transfer RNA is filed under the name Niastella koreensis GR20-10. RNAcentral's name for it is "tRNA-Und (NNN) (tRNA-Und-NNN-2-1)". It matches the Rfam family "tRNA". Rfam says of the family: Transfer RNA (tRNA) molecules are approximately 80 nucleotides in length. Their secondary structure includes four short double-helical elements and three loops (D, anti-codon, and T loops). Further hydrogen bonds mediate the characteristic L-shaped molecular structure. tRNAs have two regions of fundamental functional importance: the anti-codon, which is responsible for specific mRNA codon recognition, and the 3' end, to which the tRNAs corresponding amino acid is attached (by aminoacyl-tRNA synthetases). tRNAs cope with the degeneracy of the genetic code in two manners: having more than one tRNA (with a specific anti-codon) for a particular amino acid; and 'wobble' base-pairing, i.e. permitting non-standard base-pairing at the 3rd anti-codon position. Lineage: Bacteria; Pseudomonadati; Bacteroidota; Chitinophagia; Chitinophagales; Chitinophagaceae. The record is from RNAcentral.